Molecule: long non-coding RNA, 329 nt
Filed under: Phoenix dactylifera (date palm)
Lineage: Eukaryota; Viridiplantae; Streptophyta; Magnoliopsida; Arecales; Arecaceae
Description: long non-coding RNA (PDAC_LNC019846)
Source: RNAcentral
GGGAGAGUUCUCUCGUAAAGGAACUUGAAUUAAUAACUCACCAGGCUCUACCCGCUCUUUCUGAGGGUUGACCCGUGCCUCCAUAACCUUAGUUGAGGGUUUGUCAGUUGCUAGGGCAGGCACCUCGGCUGGCCGUUUUGCCUCGUGGGUUGCCAGGUAGCAUCGCCUUGCCACCAUUUGGUCCCCUCGAACUUCGCCGACUUCCUGGCUGGUGGGGAAUCGCAUAAGCAGGUGGCGGGUCGAGACCACUGCCCGGAGGGCGUUGAGACCCGGCCUUCCGAGGAUGGCAUUGUAGACUGAGGGCAGGCGUAUUACAAGGAAGCUCAUCC